CUCGAGAUAUUAAAUAUUAAUAGAGUAAUUGUACAUUCCUCAUGCAACCAAAUCACUGUGAUCAGUCGAGAAUGAUAAAUGCCAAGAAGGCACCCGCAUCUCUACAACAAUAGAAGACCUCUAGACUUAAUAUUUAGUGAGAAGAUUUAGGUUUAGAUCUCUUCUAAAUCAGCAGAUCUAACAUCUGACUAAUUAAAUUCAGGUU
This 205-nucleotide long non-coding RNA is filed under the name Elaeis guineensis (African oil palm). Its description in RNAcentral is "long non-coding RNA (EGUI_LNC042248)". Lineage: Eukaryota; Viridiplantae; Streptophyta; Magnoliopsida; Arecales; Arecaceae. The record is from RNAcentral.